AUGGUCACAGCCUUUGGUCACACACAGGUGUGGCUUCUAUCUUUGAGAAAGGUCAUACCCUGUGACCAUCACUCACCCCAGCUCCUCAGAGAGCCCCUCAACAUUUCAGACAUAAACAUUUUUGAAGUAUCUUCCACCAAUCCAGAGGCUUAUAGUUCUGAAAUCCCUGUAUUGGGUCCAGAUUGGAUUAUUUUAAUAUUCCAGGAAGAUGCUUUACAGUUGAGACAUUUUCAGUUCAAUUCACAUUUUCUACUUGUAAUUUCUAGCUGGAAAUUACCUAUGGAAGCUGAGUCACCUACCUCGCUCCUGGAGCCCACUGGCUGUUUCCAAGGCCUUCUUCAUUAUUCAAACCACGACUCCAUCACAGGAAUACCCAAAGCAACAUUUGAUAGUUGUGGAAGAUUUUUACCCUCACAAGUCAUGAAUACUUUCUGUUUAUCGCUUACACUGAGGAUUUAUGACUAUCUAAGUGUUGUAUUUCCGAAGGGAAGCAUCCUAUCCUCAGAUCCAUUCUGCUCACGUCAGAAUACCUUUGAAGACUAGGCACUUAUUAUUUCUACAAUGAAUCUGUUUCCUCCAGACUCCCGGCUGUCACCGUCCUGACCUGCCACCUGUGUCACAUCCCAUCAAGUGCUGUGGAUGAGCCAGGUACCAGUAAACCAGCCCCCGAGGCUGGAGAAAUGUUGGAUGUAGAUGCUCACAGAAUCAUUCAUCAAAUCUUGGAAGCUUCGGAGAGAAGUGCGUAAAAUGAAAAUUUAGUUCCAGAGAAAUAGAGCCUCAAUUUAAUACCAUCUACCAAAGCACUGCCACGUCUGUCAUCUU
This 822-nucleotide long non-coding RNA is filed under the name Sus scrofa (pig). RNAcentral describes it as "lncRNA (ENSSSCG00060072015.1)". Lineage: Eukaryota; Metazoa; Chordata; Mammalia; Artiodactyla; Suidae. The record is from RNAcentral.